UCCACUGUAGUCAAGUGGUUAAGGCGAUAGAUUAGGAAUCUAUUACUCUGUGAGUAUGCAGGUUCAAAUCCUGCGGGUGUUC
Molecule: non-coding RNA, 82 nt
Organism: Guyanagaster necrorhizus
Lineage: Eukaryota; Fungi; Basidiomycota; Agaricomycetes; Agaricales; Physalacriaceae
Source: the annotation of a RefSeq genome assembly